GCGNGCUUAGCUCAGCUGGGAGAGCGCCUGCUUUGCACGCAGGAGGUCAGCGGUUCGAUCCCGCUAGUCUCCACCA
RNAcentral lists this transfer RNA (76 nucleotides) under Staphylococcus aureus. RNAcentral describes it as "tRNA-Ala". It matches the Rfam family "tRNA". Rfam says of the family: Transfer RNA (tRNA) molecules are approximately 80 nucleotides in length. Their secondary structure includes four short double-helical elements and three loops (D, anti-codon, and T loops). Lineage: Bacteria; Bacillati; Bacillota; Bacilli; Caryophanales; Staphylococcaceae. The record is from RNAcentral.